CGAGUGUCCCUGGAGCGCUGGGAGCUGCCGGUAGCCCCAGGCAGUGUCCCCUGAGGAGCUGCUGAAGGACGCUGCAAGGAAGACCUUGAGGAGAGCCGGAGACUGCCAGGAGCCAGCAGGGAGAAGCUGAGUGCCAGCAGCAGGAGCAGUGAGCGGGGCCCUGCUGCUGCCAGCCUGGAGAGAGCCCGGGAGAUAUGCCAAACUUCAUCUGCAGGAUCAGAACAACUGGUGUCCUUUGGCUUCCCCCAGUUCCCACUGAAGAUGGGAGCACCUGCAGAGCACAGGGGACCAGCUGCAGCUCCAGGCCCAGCUCUUGCUGCUCACAGCUGAGUCUGUGGCAAGCUCCAGGAGCUCCUGCCAUCUCCCUCCCUGUUGGCAGCUCCCUCCCUCCAGCCCCCACACCCUGCCCAUCCCCUUUUUUCCCUCCCAGCUCACCCCUUUGCUUUGCCUUCCCUUAUUAAACAGUUUUUCUUUUUCAUUUGACUCGUGGAUCUGUCCGUGGAGCUGAAGCAGCACAAAUCCUGAGCCCGGGGACACGCAGGGCCCUGCUGCCGUUCUCUUCCACGCCAUCGUCUGUGCACGGGCAGAGAGGAACAAGGGCAGCUCAGGCUGCAGAGGUCCCUGUCCUGCUGCUCCAGUUGCACAGCACCAUGGAGUUGAAGGUCGUGCUGAGCACACUGGAGGGAACAAGGACCCUGGGUUUUAGAAGAGCCAGCCUGAGUAUGCUCUUCCAUGGGACAGGAAGAGGGCAGAACCAGACACCAUGAUGGCCUAACAGUGAGCUCUGGGUGUGCCUCAAAGCCAAUGAAGCAGCAGCAGCAGCAGCAGUGCAGUGGCUGUGACUCAGAG
This is a long non-coding RNA of Passer domesticus (house sparrow), 849 nucleotides long. RefSeq lists it as uncharacterized. The transcript has 4 exons. The record is from RefSeq and is a predicted model, not a curated record. Lineage: Eukaryota; Metazoa; Chordata; Aves; Passeriformes; Passeridae.